UACAGAGGGUGCGAGCGUUAAUCGGAAUUACUGGGCGUAAAGCGCGCGUAGGCGGCUUUGCAAGUCGGGUGUGAAAUCCCCAGGCUUAACCUGGGAACUGCAUUCGAGACUGCAUUGCUAGAGUAUGGGAGAGGGAAGUGGAAUUUCCGGUGUGGCGGUGAAAUGCGUAGAUAUCGGAAGGAACAUCAGUGGCGAAGGCAGCACUCUGGGACGUGACUGACGCUGAGACGCGAAAGCGUGGGGAGCAAACAGG
RNAcentral lists this ribosomal RNA (253 nucleotides) under uncultured bacterium. Its description in RNAcentral is "partial 16S ribosomal RNA". It matches the Rfam family "Bacterial small subunit ribosomal RNA", at positions 524 to 776 of the family's 1533-position model. The record is from RNAcentral.